UCCCAAGUAACAGGUUGAUUUCCUGCCGCCUCAGCUCAAUUCGGACUUGAACCAGAAACUGUGUAAAAGAGAAGUACAAGGAGCUAUGCUUCGGGAACAGACGGGGGUAAACUGGGAUUCCUAGCUGCUGUGCAGACAAGGAGCUGGAGUUACUGAUCGGCAGGUGAGAAACGGCUUCCCUUGCAUAGAAACACCACACCGAUCCUGCCUUCAUCCCUCGGCGGGCAUGUAGGUGUGUCCACCUCCUGGCUUUAGUGCCUGGCGCUGCAGUUAAUACGGGAGCACAGACGUCUCUCCACGAUCGAUCCCAGUUUCAGCUCUUUACGAUACACGCUCAGGAGUGAGGUUGCUGGGUCACACAGGAGUUCUCUUUUUAACUUUCUGAGGAAUCGCCCUGCUAUUUUUCAAAGUGGUUGCAUCAUUCAGCCACACACAGAAAAAGGAGACCAUGUCACAUGCCACAGCAUGGUGAACCUGGAGGAUAGUAUGCCAAGUGCAACAAGCCAGUCACCGAAGGACAAACACUCAGAGGAGGACUCAGAAGAAGUUGAAACGUAGAAACAGACAGUAGAAUGGGGUUGUCGGGGCUGGGGGAGGGGAAAUGGGGAGUUUCAGUCACGCAAGAUGAGAGAUUCUAGAGAUCUGGGUGACAACACGGUGCUAUAGGCAGCACCACUGCCCAUGCUCACAGUCGUCGGGGGAGAUCUCCUGUGAUGCGUGCUCACCGUGCGGGGAAAAUGAAACACGCCUCCGUCCGGGACAAACCGGUUGCCGGUGUCUUGGGGAGGGAGGCUGCAGGCGUCCCCAGGUGGGCGAGGCUGGGGCUCUGCCUGCGCCUCGGGCUCCCCGCGUCCCUGGCUGCUGGUCAGGCCUCUCAGGAGCGUGGGGGACACACCCUGCAGGCCCUCACCCCCUCCCUGUGCUGGCAGUGCAACCCGGGCCUGCACAGACAUGCGGGCAGCCCCGGGAGCAUGUUGUUAUUACCUGACUCCAAAGGCAGAGGACCUUCUGAAGCCACGGUGGAAAUCGCUAAAGAGGCCUGCAACCUCCCAUCUCCAGCUGGUCUUUGUCGCCUGGGCACAGGGCGGCCACCGUGGGAGGAACAGAUGCCCCUUGGGUCUUCACAGCCAGCGAGAUGAACUUACACCAGGGAAACUCAGAGAUUAACAGGGCUUUUCUGGAAGCGAGUCGGUCUGUGGGGUUACACUGCGUCACUGGCUACAGUCUCAGGCUGAGACAUCGAUGUGCUGGCUCACGGACAGUGCGAGUUUCUACGACGUGAUGUGACAGGUCCCCAGAUGUUCCACGAGACAGCGAAUAGGAAAUGGAUGUGUUGCCCCGACUUUUGGAAGUUAAGUGCAGAGUAAAAUGGGAUUACCGAAGCAUUAAGCUGAUUAGAAAUUGUAUUUCAAAGGAAAAAUGCUUUGUUGGUAAAGGACUUGGAUCAUGAUUUGAUUUGUCAGUGAAAACAAAAAUGCAACUGCAUGUUGUCUUCUUUGAGGGCGACAGUACUGAUUACUUCCCAGGGCACAGAAAUGAGGGCGCUGCCAAUGGAGGUCACUGCCAAUGGAGGCCGCUCUCUGCAUCCACCCUGUUCCCUAACUGCUGAGUCACCUUGCUGGGCCCUUGCUGAGUCACCUUGUUGGGCCUUCGCUGAGUCACCUUGCUGUGUCCUUGCUGAGUCACCUUGCUGGGCCCUUGCUGAGUCACCUUGCUGGGCCUUCGCUGAGUCACCUUGCUGUGCCCUUGCUGAGUCACCUUGCUGGGCCCUUGCUGAGUCACCUUGCUGGGCCUUCGCUGAGUCACCUUGCUGUGUCCUUGCUGAGUCACCUUGCUGGGCUAGUAGCCUCCUUUUUCUCUGAGAUGAGCUUUUAAAAAGUUUUACUUUCUUUCCAGGAGAAAUGGAAAUUUGUAAUGGGAGCUCAGAGCAUUUUGGAAUCCAGGGCAAAGUGUGGUUUUUAAAAAACUGUCCAAUAAAAUGGUAACAAGCCA
Myotis lucifugus (little brown bat) is the source of this 1992-nucleotide long non-coding RNA. RefSeq lists it as uncharacterized. Lineage: Eukaryota; Metazoa; Chordata; Mammalia; Chiroptera; Vespertilionidae. The transcript has 4 exons. The record is from RefSeq and is a predicted model, not a curated record.